Ochotona princeps (American pika) is the source of this 104-nucleotide small nucleolar RNA. RefSeq annotates it as small nucleolar RNA U13. NCBI's taxonomy places the organism in Eukaryota, Metazoa, Chordata, Mammalia, Lagomorpha, Ochotonidae. The record is from RefSeq and is a predicted model, not a curated record. The transcript has a single exon.
UUCCUUUUGUGGUUCCUAAGCGUGAUGAUUGGGUUGACACACGGCUGUGUGACAUGUGCCUCCCUCCAACCUUGUUACGACAUUGUCACGUUACCCAUCCGACG